UCUAUCCGUGUGGGCUAACUUAUAACAUAAUAGACCUGGUGCGCUUGCCGGUGACCCAUACUGAUUUUUUGAAAUUAUUCUAUGGAGCUGAAAUUACCAGUGCUUAUAUUCAGUUGAAAUUUGGAAUAGUUGGUCUAAUGGUGGUACAAAUUAGGAAUAUAAUGCAAAUUACAACAUUUGCCAACGUGCGAGGGUUUAUUACUGUGGAUAAAUAAAUAUUACGACGUUAUACAACAGAACCUUGCGUCCGGCUCGGCAAAGCUCUACACUGAGCACAUUCAAGUCUAUAUUCUAUAAUCUAUAAUCUAUAUUCUGUGGCUUGCACCUACAUAAAUUCUGCAUCGUCCAGUGACGCGAUGAUGGAAGCCAUGAUAUAAUUUUAUCCUACUAACAAUUACUAGAACCAGGUUGAAUUUAAAUAAAUGUGUCAAUAGUCGAACAC
Folsomia candida is the source of this 442-nucleotide long non-coding RNA. RefSeq lists it as uncharacterized. NCBI's taxonomy places the organism in Eukaryota, Metazoa, Arthropoda, Collembola, Entomobryomorpha, Isotomidae. The record is from RefSeq and is a predicted model, not a curated record. The transcript is spliced from 2 exons.